UCUCAUCUUAAGCGUUGAGCCUAACAAUCUAUAUUCUGAAUUCUCUUUCUGGACGGAGCGAUGAGUGCGGCGUUUUCCGCCACUCCUUCCGCCGCGCAAGUCCUCUCUCUGUUCCGCUCCCUCUUACGCGUCGCGCGCGAGUUUCCCGAUUAUACAUCAGGGAAUACACCAAACGCCGCACCAUCGAUGCGUUUCGUGAAAACGCCACCCUCUCCGACGCUUCUUCCAUUUCCUCCGCCUUCUCCCGUGGCGAGUCUCAGCUCGCGCUCGUUAAACGACAGGCCUUCGUGCACUCUCUCUACGCCCCUCCGCUUCGCAGCGUCAUGGAACUCCAACAACCCUCCUUAUAGUCGCGGUUCUGAGUAUGACUCUGUUGAGCAGAGGACAAAUUGGAAAUGUGUGUUUCCUUACUCUGCUUUCGCUUAUCGUGAAACUCUCAACGAUGUGAAAUCGUUUUGAGCUUUCAUCUUUCUCUAGGAAAGUCAACUGUCAUCUUUUUAGGACAAGUUUAUGUAUUUUUUUUUUUUUUUUUAAAGUUGAGUGGCACUCCCUAAUAAUUGGCAAAACCGGUUUUAAUUUGUUAGAAUGAGUUUUUUAAUUGGAUGACAUGUAAAUUUGACGUUUUGUUUGAUUUUUUAUAUGACAUGUAAAGGUAGGUUAUUCUGGUAUUGGCUUUUACAUUGAACUAGCAAAAACACUAUGAAAGAUUCCCAUAUUCCGUUUGACUUUAGUUAAGCCUGUAAUCAUUUAUUUCACGGCCAAUGGAUAUAUUAUGUAUGUAUGCAUGUAUGUUAGCCUGAUGUUUCUUUUAGGUAGGAACUUGUGUAGUUCUUGUUCAGAGAAGUAAUCCUGUGGUUUUCAUACAAUGUGAGUCUGAUUAGUAGAAAAAUCAAAGGGAGAAAUUGCUAUCCCUAUGUUUUACUCUAGUCUAUUCUCCGCGCAAAACCUAUAACAGAACUAGAGACUCCAACAGAAUUAGCUAGGCUUCUUGUUGUUAUAAGGCUGUUUUUGUUAUGUGAGGCUUCCGUACUAUUGUUUUAUAUAAUUAGUGUAUCAAUCUCUGGAUAAAUUUGUGGAAACUCAAAUUAAAAAGUUUAAAAUACUAGCUUUAACUAGAAAUGUCUGGUAUCUGAUUAAUUAAAUAAUUUUUGAAAAAGAAAUAGGAGGGUAAAAAGAUAGAGAAGUAUAUUGAGUCGAAAAAGAUCUAAAUAUCAGGUGUUGUUGAAGAUAUUGUUGGGAGAGGUUGAGGAAUCAGAGGCCAGGGAUAGAGGAUCACGCCAAAAGGAUGGAGGCAGUUACUAUUUUGAAAACCAAACCCACUUGCCGGUUAGAUUGGAAAACUGGUCAACUGGCCAAGUGAUUGGUUCUAAUACCAUUAAAGCAGUUUAGGGUUUAGGGUAGAAAGAAAGGUUGACGAAUCGAAUGGGGGAGGAACACAAUAGCAGUGUUGGAUAUAGGUUCUAACAAGACCUUGAUUGUUGUGAUUCUUAUGAAAGAGAUUAAAAAUUUCAGAUUGACUAGUGAUAAGGUCGAGCAAAGUAUACAAGUGUUGAAUUUUUUAAUUGCUGAUUGACAAGAUGAACUGUGGUAUCCAAGUAAACAAUCAGCUUCUUUAUACCACUAGUCUUGAUGACUUGACCAACCUCUUUUAUAAGCAUUAUAGCAAUCAAGGUCUUGCCAGAGCCUGUAUCCAACAUUGCUUUCGUGUUCUUUCGCUCUGCAACUUCAAACACCUCUAUUUGAUACCAUCCGGAGGGAGUUCAAGUAAUCAAGUUGGAAAAUGUGGAUUCUAGACAUGUAGAAUCAUCAAAUCUUGGAGUUUUCGUGUUUUUUAUUCUGGUCAUUGUUAUGGCAUGAUGAAUCAUCCAUGUCGAAAUUCAUGCUCAUACUAGGACCAAAAUAAUAAAUGAAAGCUUCAAUAUGUUGAUGAUUUUCUAUGCCUGAAAUCAGCAUUUUCCAUCUUAUCCUAAGAGGUUUCAGAUAGAAGGUAUUUUUGAAGUUGCAAGGGGAGGAACACAAUAGCAAUGUUGGAUAUUGAAUUUGACUAGACCUUGAUUGUUGUGAUGCUUAUGAAAGAGGUUGGUCAUGCCACUAAGACUAGUGAUGUUCAAGAAUUUGAUUAUUUACUUAGCUCCCAUAAUUCAUCUUGGUAAUCAACAAUUCAAAAAUACAAAACUAACUUGUAUAAUGAGAAUUGUAUUCCUUCUCCUUGCAACUUCAAAAACACCUCUAUCUAAUAUCUUCUUGGUUUUCAUUUAUUACUUUAGUCCUAGUAUGAGCAUGGAUUUCAACAUGGAUCAUUCAUCAUACCAUAUUUGGGACCAAAGUAAAAACAUGUAAGCUCCAAGAUUUGAUGAUUCUCCAUACCGGAAAUUGCUAUUUCCAACUUUAACUCCAUCAGGUCUCAAAUAGAGGUGUUUUUGAAGUUGCUAGGGGAGGAACAGAAAACAAUGUUGUAGAGGCUCUGGAAAGACCUUAAUUGUUGUGAGCUUAUGAAAGAGGUUGGUCAAGCCAUCAAGACUAGUAUGCAAAGAAUGAUAAGGAAUUCAAGGAUACUAACCCCAAAUAUUUCAGCAAUCAAACAUAUGCUUAUCUAAAAUCGUGUUUUUUCGGGGAUAUGGAUCCUCUAUAUAGUUGAAAGAAAACCAUGGAGUGUAGAAGAUCCUAAUCCCUCUUUUCGGCUAUUCGCCUUCGGCCACUUAAGUGUCGAAUACAUCCGACCAUAUGAUAUGAGCACCAACAAUUGGCGAUCCAAAGGCAACCUUUCCAAAAUUUUAGAAUCACCUUCAGUUUUAGAAGGAAUUUUAAGGGUUUGCAUGGUAGAUGCAUCCCAAUCAAGGGUUUUUAGAUUCAUCAACGUAAGUAAUCUAUGUGCUUCAUAUACAACUCCGACGAAAUUUGUUCCCAUUUGGUAAAGUACGAGAGAAGCUCUCUCUUUGGUUGACUAUGAGAGUAGGAUACUAGCAUGUAACCAACUCAAAUGAAGAUAAUAGGGUCUCUUUCUCUCAUUGCCAAAAUCAACAAAUAAUUUUGUUAAAGAAAUAGCAAGAAAUGCAAGACUUGUGUGACCAAAAUUGCAUUUUCUAGAUAAAUAAAAUCAUUGUAGCUUGGUUUAUGUUUUUAA
Long non-coding RNA from Cajanus cajan (pigeon pea), 3124 nucleotides. RefSeq lists it as uncharacterized. Lineage: Eukaryota; Viridiplantae; Streptophyta; Magnoliopsida; Fabales; Fabaceae. The record is from RefSeq and is a predicted model, not a curated record.